This 372-nucleotide ribosomal RNA is filed under the name uncultured organism. RNAcentral describes it as "bacterial SSU rRNA". It matches the Rfam family "Bacterial small subunit ribosomal RNA", at positions 526 to 896 of the family's 1533-position model. The record is from RNAcentral.
CGUAGGUGGCGAGCGUUGUCCGGAAUUACUGGGUGUAAAGGGCGCGUAGGCGGGAAUGCAAGUCAGAUGUGAAAUACCAAAGCUUAACUUUGGAACUGCAUCUGAAACUGUGUUUCUUGAGUGUCGGAGAGGAAAGCGGAAUUCCCCGUGUAGCGGUGAAAUGCGUAGAUAUGGGGAGGAACACCGGUGGCGAAGGCGGCUUUCUGGACGAUAACUGACGCUGAGGCGCGAAAGCGUGGGUAGCAAACAGGAUUAGAUACCCUGGUAGUCCACGCUGUAAACGAUGGAUACUAGGUGUAGGAGGUAUCGACCCCUUCUGUGCCGCAGUUAACACAAUAAGUAUCCCACCUGGGGAGUACGGCCGCAAGGCUG